RNAcentral lists this long non-coding RNA (784 nucleotides) under Sinocyclocheilus anshuiensis. Its description in RNAcentral is "lncRNA (ENSSANG00000047096.1)". Lineage: Eukaryota; Metazoa; Chordata; Actinopteri; Cypriniformes; Cyprinidae. The record is from RNAcentral.
CCCACAGUGGCCAGAAAACUGCUACUAUAUUGACUGUGGGAAACAUGAGUUCUGUUCAACCUCUCUGGAAUGCUGUAUAAACCAUCCUGGAAUACUCAAGAACAAUGGCCUGACUGUUUCUCUGGCAAUAUGCAUGGCCACAUUCUCCAGCUGUGUGUAAUCCAAGCUGUAGCCUCUUUUAUCCAUCUAGAACCUAAGAACGCUACUGUGUUACGAGGUAGUGAGGUCCACUUUAACUGCAGCACCGAUGAAUCCUGGGAUGUCAUGGCGUGGCUGUUGGGUGGAAGGACAAUCCUCACUAUUUCGGUGGAACAUGGUCCUCUGGGCAGAGAUGAGAGUGUGUCCACAGUCAAUCACUCAGUCAUGUCAUCUCUGUCAGUGUGGGAGUUAGUUCUGUUGAACGCUUCCUUCAGCCCCACUGUACAGGAAGUCACAUGUGAACUGCUGCCAACGAAACUCGGCAGAUCAUCAUCAGCUCUGUUUGUACAAGAAAAAGGAAAUGUCAGGAUUUUGGAGAGUGAUCAGUCAGUUCAAGAGGGGAUGCUUGUUAUCUUCCAUUGCCAAGCGAGUGGCUGGUAUCCGGACCCUUCAGUGUCCUGGGUGGUCAACGGCACCACUGUGGACAGAGGCAACUACAACACCAGCAGUCUUCAGGACCCCAAUGGCCUUUUCAGCUCCACCAGUGUGCUUCAGAUGAAAGCAGAGACGAGCACCAUGGUGGAGUGUUGGGCAUCUGUGUCUGCCGCUCGAGCCCACCAGAGCAGCAGUCUCAAGCUGACUGUAG